Molecule: unclassified non-coding RNA, 3737 nt
Filed under: Hevea brasiliensis (rubber tree)
Lineage: Eukaryota; Viridiplantae; Streptophyta; Magnoliopsida; Malpighiales; Euphorbiaceae
Source: RNAcentral
UCUUGAUUACCUGGUAUAACCAUUCAAAUUUUAUCAUUAAUAUUGAAUUAUUUAUAUUCCCAUAAUAUUGAUAGUAUGGAAACUGAAAGAUAAAUCGAAGUAGACUGUAUGAGGGUAUACAUGAACUAUGCAGUAAAGUAAAUUUCUAACAAAACUACAUUUUACAAAUUUUAUGCCUCUCAUAAUAAGUGGGUCUCAGCCUUAGUAUCCGAGUAGUACAACAGGUAGAUGACGACGACGACGACGAGGUUGAUGAUCAAGAUGUGUUGUGUAACUGGUGUUGGCCAUGAUCAGAAGAGCAGCAGCACAAAAUAUGUGAGAGUUUGAAAUAAUCAGUGUUCCAGAGCACUUCGGAUGGAAAGUGGGGGAUCUUGCACUGUGCCUCUGGAAAGAAGAUCGUGAUUUAAGAAUAAAACAAUGACUGUUAUAUCAUCAUGAAAGUGGCGUCGAACCUUCUUGUCAGUCCUACGAAGAUCUGAUUAUCUCAUCUCCCUUUUUCUUGCUGCUUCUCGUAAGGCAGCCUUGACAAGUCUUUUGGCACUUUCUGCAUGUAGAUGACUGUGAACAAUAUCCACAGCUUUUUCAUUACUCAAGUGUUCCCAAAGCCCGUCAGAUGCAAAUAUAAGGAAGGAAUCAUUCGGAUGGAGAGGAUGGGAAAUGAUAGUUGGAUUAGCAUUCAAGAUAGGCAUGUUCAUUGGUUCAGGGAGUCUAAAUUUUGUUCUUGGUUAUACUGCACAUGCUUCAUAUACACGUCGCCUAUAGAUCUAGAAACCUGCAUCAAAAACAAUGAUGGGAGUUUUUGACAUUAGAUCUCUACUUGUGAAGAAACAAUAAAAGUUGAGAAACUAGAGGUUGAUAUUCCAUUCUAAAAUAAAAUAUGCAAGGAAUUUCCAUGACACAGUUGACUUCUAUAUUAACAUAAAUCUGUCAGGGGAAGGGGGAACAGAGAUCCAAUUAAUCUUUAUGAUCAAAUACCCUUAUUUACUUAAAUAUAUCAAUAAACAUUAUCACAAAACUUCUAGCUAUAUUUGCCAUGCAAUUUUACAUAUUAGCACAGAAUUUAGUGCCUCAAAUGAUGCUGAAAUUUUCAAGUUGCUAUAAUAGAAAAAGAAAUUUCAAACAACUUAUUGGCUUUUGUCUUUUUCCUAGGAAAUAACCUCACAUCCUCAAAUGUAUUAAUUCAUCAUUUUCAAUAUAUAUAUAAUUCUUCGUGAAGAAUGUAAUUCCAUUGCAUCCUUAUACAGAUAACUUUACCACAUGGUUUUUGUCAGUGCCAUAUACCAUUACGCUCUGUAGUUUGUGCUUCUACGAAAUCUAAGACUCUCUCCCAUCGGUUAUUUAUACUGUGAAACUCUGCAGCCAAGCACUCUAAAUCCAUUAUUACAUAUCCUAUAAUGCAAGAAAUAACAGUGAAAUUUGUUUGCAUCAACCACUAUAAUAAAUGGUCAAUGAGUUCCCAGAAGCAUUUACAACUGAAUCACAAAUCAUUAGAAAAUUAUCAUUUUUGCUUUAUUUCAUGGCCAAUGCCUCAAGAUAUCUAAUCAAUAGUUGCAUAAUUUCUCAGCACUAGCACAAACAUCUAAUUAACAUUUUCAGAUAAAGAAUAUGGCCAAGAAUACAAGAAGCAACAAGAAUCUCAAAAGGCACCUAAUGACGUGCUUCAUUUUGACACAAUGUGAAGGAUAAAUUGGGUUUCUGAAACAACCUGAAUAAUCCCCUUUACUCUCCAAACUCCAUGCUUAAGGACAACAAUCUGGGGAUCAUUUGGAUGCAGUUCCUUGAGUUCAUGCCGAAUGGCCUCAUUGUUUGCAUUAUGUUCUGUUGAUAGCUGAAUAGCAGCAAUGUCUCCAGUGCUACCAACUUUCUUCCCCAACACGACUCUAGAAUCUCCCAAGUUUGCCACAAAGAGGGUCUGCUGAAAUAUGACUCCAACUAGACAGCAAGAUCCAGUAGUUGCAAUUUGGGGACAAGUAGUCCAUAACUCAGACACAAGAGUAGUAAACCCUUCUUCGGUUGCAUGAAAAGCUCUUUGAAUAGUCUCAGCUGCCACAACUCCCUGUGCAUCAGCUGAUAUUGCUGCAUAAUCACAAAGCCCAAGAAUGCCAAAAUAAGACCAGCUCCUCAUUUAAAGUUAAACAACAAGAAACAUUUCCCUGAGAAAGCCAGCGAAAUUUUUUUCUGAAAAACUUAGAAAAACUGACGAUGGAAUGAGUAAGCCCCACUAUUAACACUGGCGCAAGUGUCAAAGCCAUCAGCCUUGUGCAGAAUCCAGUUUCUGUAGCAGGUAUUUUUCAUGCAUUGUGAAUUUUGGUAGCAUUUUCUUACUUUCAAGACCAAAAACUGCAGUACACUUCGGUGCAUAAAAGGGAAACAAAAAAAAAACCGAAGUAAUUAAACACUAUGCAAAAAGUUCUGUUGGCAACUUUUGAACAAAAUUGCAUUGGUUUUAACUGAAGACACUCGCAUAUGCUAACGAAAGAACAACUGAUGCUUCACCGCUCUGUUCCAAUUUUCAACUGUACCUGAUACUCUGAACAGUUAUCCAAUCAAAACAAACUCCCAAUGGAAAUAUCCUUAAACAGUUAUCCACAAAAUUGACGAGCAUAAAGAAGAUAAUCAAACAUGUGGCCACUCCGAAAAUUGAAUUCUUUUCAGAUUUAAAAGAAAACCAUGAAAGACACAUGCAAAUCCAAUAAAAAGGUUAAAGUGGUUUUAAUUCUUAAAACAAGAAAGCUACUUUUUAAAAUCAAAUUUAAUUUUAUAUGAUACUAUCUUGUCCCAACUCAUAAACAAGCCCAACCAAAAGCAGAGCUUUCAAAAUCUCAGGGUGAAAAAACAAAUUGAUUGAGAUAUCACUACUAACAGUCUCCACAAAAGUUCACUGAAACGUGGUUGAUUCAAAACCACAAACCAACGCAAUUAAAAAGGGGGGCAGGGGAGAGGGAAUCCAUAUAGAAAUGAAGAGGAUUCAUGAAAUUUGAAAAAUAACGGACCUUGAAAGUGCCUGAACAAGUGAUCACAGACAUAGCUAGACGCAUCAGGGCCACCGUGACCAUCAUAGACACCAAUAAAAGUCCCAAACAAUCCAGACUCGAUCUGGCACUUGUCCUCGAGUACUUGAUUAGCUUGCACAACAGCCAUUGAAAAAUCUCCAGACCCAUAUCUCCCAAUAUCUCUAUACCAAAGCAACCCGUCUUUCCCUUCUUUUCCAACACCAGCUGACUCAAAGUUGCCACUAGUGCUGCUAUCGUGCCCAAACGGCCUAAAACAUAAAGAAAGCAGAUUCAUCAAUGCCUGAAGCAUCCCACAUCUCUCAGUUACGCUGACCCCAAUCUCCUCUCCCAAGGUAUCCCAAUCUGGUCGUUGAUAUAAUGAUCAAAUUUAUAUUUGAAAAGAAAGUGGGUGUACAGGAUAAGAAGAGAGAAGGGUGGUGGUGGUGGUGGUGAUGGAGCUCUGUGCCCGGUGGUAGAGGAACAGGGAAAGGGUCAUUCCAUUGCUGGGGAGGAGAUGGUGUAGGGAAGAGUUUUGUUGGGUGUUGUUUUCAAUGUCUUUUGUUUGUAUUAUGGUGUGUAUAUAACAAUAACCAUCAAUUUGAUGUACGCAAAAAGCAAGUGUUCUUCUUGCGAUGCCUCUUUAGCUUACAUUCUUUCUUUUUAUGUGUUUUUUUUAUGGAAUUGUUUUCCUCUUGUUUUUCACUUAUGGGUGAAAGUGAAAACUUUCAAAAGGGAACCACUUUC